AACUUCCGUCCCGUAAUGCCUCUAAAUAACCGCACCGUUAGAACUAACAUUCUGCCGAAUGACAAUGAAAGCUGUCGUCCUGAAAGAGUAUAUUCGUACGAAGUAAAUGAACGAUUCAUGACAUGACGGCGAUUGAGCGUUGAUAGUAUCCCAAUCACACGUCUCCUGGAGAGAACGGCCGCCAGCUUGUCUUCCACACACCUAGAACCCUGACACAAAGGGCCAGACUAUCACAGAUAUGUUCUCGAUUAGACGACCGAUACCGUGAUGUAUUGCCACCUCCUCCCUGGUAAAUACGUCCCGGACGCGGUUUUGAGAAGCCGGCGACCAGAUAGCGUGCCAAUGGAGUAAGAAGAGAAGCAGCAGACGACCGAUAAGGCACAAGCCUUCAAUUUAAAUGCCAGCUCGUGCCGUGUUCAAGAACCUGAGGUUUGGAAAUAUGUGAUUUCUGAAUGAAAAAGGGACAAUCGAUCACAGUCUAUGUCGCAGAUUAAGGAAACAAUGUCAAGCCCAGUCCCAUCGUGACGUUCUCACUUUGCCGUCACACGGAAGAAUUCUUGUACGGUGACUAAAAAAUGCAGUUUUUCUUUGGGGGGGAGGGGGACACCUCGUCUGAGACAUUAGAAUGAUGGGGAGUUCGGCCGUAGGUUUUUUGUUCUCAUACCACAGAUAUAACAAUAGAAAGCGUCAACGCCAUGGGUCAUUUAAUGUAUCAACAUUCAUGUGUGGUUACUCAGUUGUUUGCAGAGAACCUAUUGCUAACAAAUAUCUCCGUUUUUUUGAGUGUGGGCAAAGAUACAUCACCUUCCUGGUACGUCAGGAUUAAAUAUACAAAUCAUCCAUGACAUUCAUUCAACGGGACAACACAUUGCUAUGGAUCUAUUUGUUGUAAGCGUUGAGAGAUUUUCUAUACUGAUUUCUACCGUCUUGCCUGGCGCACUUGCCAAUCUAAUAUGUAUUAAAUACUUGUUAUUCGCGUUUGCUUACAACAUUUGCCCUUACGACUAAGAGAAACUGUGAAUACCUUGAGAAAUGGAAGGACAAAUAACUUUGGUCAAAAGGUGCUUCACUCUAUGGUUAAACUGUGUGGAAACAGUAAUGCCGUUCACAACUGAUUCACGGUGUUGCAUGCUGAGGAAUGUAUCAGCUACGUCUGAUUUCGAGAUAAUCGCCCUUAGGGAACUCUUCAAUAAGGAGACAAAAGGGAUGGAUACCUGACAGACGGAGAAACCGGAGCUAUAUAUAUGUGUAUUUUGGAGGUUAAACUCAGACGUAAGUUUGGCAAUUUAUUAUAAUGUUAUAACUUGCAUAUAUGGGCAUUCUCGACAAACCUAUCCCAUGAAAUCCACGGUCAAAUCCCUGUGAACAGAAGGAUUUUGAUGUACAAAACCAGCAUAUUACAUCGAAGCAUAUUCCCCUUGAGUUUGCAAAGGUAAUAGUUUCGUAAAAACUGUUUCUUUUCAUUCCAUUCUUGACGUUUUUUGCCUUAUAAGCAAAUCAGCUUACCGUUUGUAUGACGAAAAAUAAGCCGUUAUAAAGUGUAACAGU
Molecule: long non-coding RNA, 1548 nt
Organism: Liolophura sinensis
Lineage: Eukaryota; Metazoa; Mollusca; Polyplacophora; Chitonida; Chitonidae
Exons: 3
Source: RefSeq, a predicted model, not a curated record